Molecule: long non-coding RNA, 665 nt
Organism: Bombina bombina (fire-bellied toad)
Lineage: Eukaryota; Metazoa; Chordata; Amphibia; Anura; Bombinatoridae
Exons: 6
Source: RefSeq, a predicted model, not a curated record
UCCUGUCCUGAGCAGUAAUGGUGGAGUGUGUCUCUCUGACUCCCAUCCGGAGAUCGUGUGCUUGUGGGGAGAUGGUUGUUUCUCAGUAUUUCCUGGGUAUGGAGCUUGGGGCUACUAAGUGCUUAGUCCUUUUGCCCUGCUGCAGAAUAACGUGAUGGCUGGUUUCUCCCAUUGAAAAGCCGCGGUUCAUUGGCACAAGAAUAACGUUAUGGCUGGUUUCUCCAAAUGAAAAGCCACGGAUCGUUGGCACAAGCCUGCAGAAAGCAGAACAAGAUGCUGAGUGAGUUAUCUUUCCUGGGAUUUCGAUACAAAUUUUCUGGGAUGGCUUGGCUUUUAUUGCUUUAGAGAUUGCCUAAUUAACACUGGAAUGGUUUGAUCCUACCCCUCCCAAGAAAUAAACCUGGGAGUUCUUGCUUUGUCUCGAUGGUGCUGCAGUUUCAUAGAAGUACAAUUACCGGGAGUGUUUGCUGAAAACGAAGAAUAAGAUAUUGCUGUUUAUUGAGCACAGCAUCAGAGAAGAAGAAAAAUUAUAACAGAAAACAUCUGCCUCCUCCAGAUCACUAGAAGAUGAAUCUAUUUUUUAAAUGUAAUUGUGAAUGAGAAUGUAAAUCUAGCAUUGUAAUUUUUGUAGCUAUGAAAAUGUAAAUAAAAUAAAAAUGUAUAUA